GAGGAAAAAGGGUCUGUAAGUGUUACAGACACUGCCAUUGAAAGCCUAUCAUUCACACAUGACACUCAGGGUGAACAGUGCUCAAAGCAAGAGUACCGGAGCAAGGCUGAGGAUCUGCGGAAUGGGGAGUCUGCAGCCUUUUUGUCUACGCAUGAUUUCAUUCACAUGGAUUCCACGUGGUGCUUGCACAACCUCUCUGCUCUGGUCCUGGGGAGGACAUUCUGGAGCAGAAGCGGGCACUUCUGGCAGGGCCAAGGUGAUUCUGACCCCUGGCCUUGGUCAUGCUGAGGCUACCAAGCCCGGGGCAUGCAGUCGGACAGCUCCACAGGGAGCAGAGAGCAUAGGGGACACCCGGGCUCCACUUAAACUCAGUCACAGCAUCCUAUACCUUUGAUGUACACUUCAUGACCUGGCUGGGCCUGUAGCUGGAGUUCAUUUUCAGGGUUAAGGCAACCUGUCCCCUGGUCCUCCCUGGCCACCCUGAGACUGGGGCUGGGGCUGCUGUGGAAGGAUCUGCUAGGGCCCCAGGGCUUGGAGGUGUCCCUGGACAUGGAAUGUUUUUAGGUCUAGUAGAGUGGACAGGUGGCUGUCCCUUGAGUGUUGUAGAGCAGGGUGCAGCAGGUGAUUUCUCAUGGGGGGCAGGGGGCGGCAGUGACACACUGCUGAGGAAGCAGCUGACAUUCACUAGGAGAGCGAGCAGACAGAUGCAACCAGCAGCCCACUCCUAGGCAUGUGCUGUAAGGGGGUGAGGGAGUGUUUCUCCUAAUAGCCCCAAAGUGGAGGCAACCCAUGCCGUCCACAUUUAUUGCAGCCCUCUCUGAGUUGCAUCUAUCUGUACAGUGGAAUCCACCUGCAGGGAUGAGCUACUGUAUAGGUUGGUGUGACGACACGGAUGUGACUCUCAGAGGGCUGAGUGGACAAAGCAAAUCCAAAAAGAGUAUAAGCAGCAGCAUUUUAUUCAUGUGAAAUUUAAAAAAUGAGCAAUAUGAGGGCUGGGGAUUUAGCUCAGUGGCACCACACCUGCCGCUCAAGUGCAAGGUUCUGAGUUCGAUCCCCAGUACCAAAAGAAAAAAAAAAAAGCAAUCUGAAACAACUUUUGCAUGCAUACCUAAAAAUAUGGUAAAACAAAAAUCAAGAAAAGAUUAAAAAUUCAGAGUAGGACUUGUCCAGGGGGACGGAAGGAGUCAGAAUUGGCCAAGGCUUCUCAGGGGAGAUGGAGAGUUCUGGCAGGGUUCUGCUUCUUAAUCUGCAGGUGUCAACCAGGAUGUUUGCUUUAUGGUUAUUCUUCAAGCUGUUCAGUUUUCUUCCUCCCUUUCUUCUUUCCUUCCAUGUUGGGGCUUGAACUCAUGUUAGGCAGUCCUUCUACCACUGAGCUUCAUCUCCAGCGCCUGUGAAUUUGACUCUGUAUUACAGUCACAAUAAAAAUAUUUGGGAAAGAAACGCAAGCAAACUGUAGCAGUGGGAUGCUCUGGAAUGGCC
RNAcentral lists this long non-coding RNA (1479 nucleotides) under Fukomys damarensis (Damara mole-rat). RNAcentral's name for it is "lncRNA (ENSFDAG00000022826.1)". Lineage: Eukaryota; Metazoa; Chordata; Mammalia; Rodentia; Bathyergidae. The record is from RNAcentral.